CUCUCGUCCUCUCGAGUCUCUUGUCUCGUGCCGAUCCACCUCUUGGAGCUCCACCUCACUCUGGGCUCCACCUAGCUCCUGAAGCUCCACCUCGCACUGGGCUUCCUGCCAAGUAAUAAUGUCCUCUACUCCCCAUCUUCUCCUCCAGCACAAUCCUAUCACCGCAUAGCACCCUCAGGAUUCUUUCACCAACUACUGUCCCGUAGCCUCUCGAAUCCAGUCUACUAAGUGAGAUUAGUUCCGCCUGAAAUUGAGUAUGUAUCGGACCUCCCCUAAUCUCCUCACUGCACCGUCAUGUGUCCUCUCGCUGACCGUCCCAA
Molecule: long non-coding RNA, 320 nt
Filed under: Elaeis guineensis (African oil palm)
Lineage: Eukaryota; Viridiplantae; Streptophyta; Magnoliopsida; Arecales; Arecaceae
Description: long non-coding RNA (EGUI_LNC044191)
Source: RNAcentral